GUCAAUUUCAUGUUUUGGCUGAGUUGGGUCUGGCAGGUGUAUGGUUAAUAAACCAGGUCUAAAUAUUUCUAGGCUACCGGUGGCUCGGGCACGUGCUGACAGCAAUGUUGUGGAUGGUGAUAUUGGCUUCGAACAUGGAUGAAAACAAGAUCUGGUCUCUUUUUUUUUACUCAGACAGUGUUGAUGAGCUGACCUAGGAGAUAAAAGGAGAACAAAUGAGGCAGAAGGAUUUGUGGGCCCUGCUCAACAGCUCCAUCCUUAGGAACUCCAGGACGAUGAAGUUCCACGGCUGGGAGGGAGCCUUUCUGGACAGAGUCCUGUGCAUCUGAGGCCAGGAGCUGGGCGCCUUGCGGACCUCCGGCCUCCUCUUCUCUGUGUCUCUGGUGUCCUUCCAAGCAUCUACCUUUCUGGUGAUGUCACUCUAGUCACUAUGCCGAGCAGGACUGGGGAAGGAGUGUGGGGCUCAGAAGGUGAGGUCUUCACGGACAUUCACAAUGGCAGCUCGGGCUUUGAGCAUUCUGGACGCAUCCUGAUGGGACCCACAUCUCUCAACUACUCUGUGAGCUGCUGUUACCAUGAUGGGCACCUGGAGCUCUCUGGCCAGAGCCAGCAUAACAGUGAGGCCUUGUGGGCUAGAUUCCCAGGCAAGGCCUCCCUGCUCGCAGAGCUGCAGAUACAUGGUAAGGCACUCAGCGCACAGCCCUGGGACUGGGGAGCUAGCUUCUUCCAUGCCUGGGCCAGCCAGCAGCCUCAGGCCUGGACCCAGAUGGCACCCCAUCAAGCCCAGUGUGGCCCUGGGCUCUGGGACAACCAGGAAAGCCUUGCCCAUGAAUGGCCUCACUCCCAAGGCAGGCGGAUUAGUUUCCUAGGACUUCUGCAACCAAGUCCCACACACCGAAUGGCUUAAAACACAGAAAUCUUAGUUGGUGUGCACAGGAAUCUUAGCCGGAUGUGGUGGCACGUGUGUGGUCCCAGCUGCUCGGGAGGCUGAGGCAGGAAAAGCACUUGAGCCAGAAGGUGGAGGCUGCAGUGAGCUAUGAUUGCAACACUGUGCUCCAGCCUGGGUGACAGAAUGAGACCCUGUCUCAAAAUAAAACAAUCCACAGUGGAUUGAACACCCGUCUGUCUUGAAUGUGACAUUAUUUUUACUUAUUCCAUCUGUUAAGACCAUUUAUUUAUUUACUUACUUAUGUACUUAUUUAUUUAUGACUGAAUCUCACUCUGUCACCCAGGCUGGAGUGCGGUGGUGUGAUCUUGGCUCACUGCAACCUCUGCCUCUCAUGUUCAAGUGAUUCUCCUGCCUCAGCCUCCUGAGUAGCUGGGAUUACAGGCAUGCACCACCACGCCUGGCUAAUUUUUCUAUUGUUAGUAGUGACAGGGUUUCGCCAUGUUGGUCAGACUGGCCUCAAACUCCUGACCUUGUGAUCCACCUACCUCGGCCUUCCAAAGUGCUGGGGUGACAGUUGUGAGCCACCGCACCCAGCCAAGACCGUAUUUUUAAAUAAGGUCAUAUUCAUAGGACAGAGGGUGAGGGGAAUGGGACUUCAUUAUCUCUGUUUGGGGUCCAUGGUUCAGCCCAUUAUGGGGGGAAAAUAAAAGCAAUGAGAGGAGCCAGCAUUGGCUGGGCACUUACUACCUACACGCCAGGCAAACUGUCCCCAUCACACAGGGGAAUGCCACAGCUCUUAGAAGGGCCUGCGAGCCGGCAGAACCCGCACCCUUCCCCCAUCUGACCUCGUCUCCCGGCCCCCAACCCCACCUGUUCCACUCCGUUCUAGUCUUUAUCACACCAGGUUUGCUGCUGCCCCAGGACCUUGGCACAGGCUGAUCCUGCCGCCUGGAAUGCCUCUCUCCCACACACCUGCCUGUCUCCCUCGCCUCCUUUAGGUGUUUUUCCAAUGGCAUCUCAGGGAGGCCUCUUUUCCACCUCCCCAUCUCCUCCCACCCUCUCCCCAGUUCUGUCAUUUGAACACACCAUGUAGCAUACAAAUACCUUUGUUUCUCAUUUUCUCUGCACUAGAAUCACCAGAAUGUGUGCUCCAUGAGGGCAGGGAUGAUUUUUGUCUGCUUUGCCACAGGGCACAUAGUAGGUGUUGAACAUGCGUGAAUGAGCAUAUGAGGUAGGGUUAGGAAUGCCAUUCCCAUUCUGCAGAUGAGGAAUGGAGGCUCAGAGAGGUUAAGUCACCUGGCCCAGGCCACACAGCUGGUAAUGACAGAGCAAGGAUUGAACCCAAAGCUACCCUCUGACCCCCAUAUAGAUUACGGAGACCUGGCUCUUGACCAUUCAGGACCCCUG
This 2296-nucleotide long non-coding RNA is filed under the name Saimiri boliviensis boliviensis (Bolivian squirrel monkey). RNAcentral describes it as "lncRNA (ENSSBOG00000036560.1)". Lineage: Eukaryota; Metazoa; Chordata; Mammalia; Primates; Cebidae. The record is from RNAcentral.